GGGGACGACUGGUUUUGACUGCAAGGUCAAUUAAACUAUAAGCAUGUCGAGUAAUGAAAUAGCACUCGUAAAUCUCAAUUUCAACAUUUUAAACGGCGAAGAUAACUACGCUUUAGCUGCAUAAUUCGAAUUAUAGUAGAAUUUGCCUCGGCACACAAGGUGUGCAAGCUAAAUGUCUCUUGAAAGCCUUGGUUAGCGGCGGUCAGCUAAGAGACAUCGUAAAAGUUAACAUAGAUUUGCUAUUGUUUCGCUAGCAUUUUGAAACUAAAGAAACUAAGCCUAACGUAAAUUGUUUUCGAUUAGCAUUAGGACAAAAAUUAAAAGAAAACUAAGCAUGUAGAAAGUACUUUGGUUGCUUGUUUGGACCCGGGUUCGAUUCCCGGCGUCUCCAC
RNAcentral lists this transfer-messenger RNA (392 nucleotides) under Lutibacter litoralis. It matches the Rfam family "transfer-messenger RNA". Rfam says of the family: Bacterial tmRNA, also known as 10Sa RNA or SsrA, is named for its dual tRNA and mRNA-like properties. Its role is to liberate the mRNA from a stalled ribosome. The record is from RNAcentral. Lineage: Bacteria; Pseudomonadati; Bacteroidota; Flavobacteriia; Flavobacteriales; Flavobacteriaceae.